This 405-nucleotide ribosomal RNA is filed under the name uncultured bacterium. RNAcentral's name for it is "bacterial SSU rRNA". It matches the Rfam family "Bacterial small subunit ribosomal RNA", at positions 370 to 772 of the family's 1533-position model. The record is from RNAcentral.
AAUGCCCGCAAGGGUGAUCCAGCCAUGCCGCGUGCAGGAAGACGGCCCUAUGGGUUGUAAACUGCUUUUACACCGGAGAAAACCUUCCCUCGUGAGGGGAGCUGAUAGUAUGGUGAGAAUAAGCAUCGGCUAACUUCGUGCCAGCAGCCGCGGUAAGACGAAGGAUGCAAGCGUUAUCCGGAUUCAUUGGGUUUAAAGGGAGCGUAGGUGGGUUUGUAAGUCAGUGGUGAAAGCCGGUCGCUUAACGAUCGAAUUGCCAUUGAUACUGCAGACCUUGAGUACAGAUGCUGUGGGCGGAAUAUGACAUGUAGUGGUGAAAUACAUAGAGAUGUCAUAGAACACCGAUUGCGAAGGCAGCUCACAAAACUGUAACUGACACUGAGGCUCGAAAGUGCGGGGAUCAAA